RNAcentral lists this ribosomal RNA (96 nucleotides) under Acinetobacter baumannii. The record is from RNAcentral. RNAcentral also lists the same sequence under 97 other names. Lineage: Bacteria; Pseudomonadati; Pseudomonadota; Gammaproteobacteria; Moraxellales; Moraxellaceae.
GGUCCCACCUGACCCCAUGCCGAACUCAGAAGUGAAACGCCGUAGCGCCGAUGGUAGUGUGGGGUCUCCCCAUGCGAGAGUAGGGAACUGCCAGGC